UACGGAGGGUGCAAGCGUUAGUCGGAAUUACUGGGCGUAAAGGGUGCGUAGGCGGGAAUAUAAGUCAGAUGUGAAAUACUGAAGCUCAACUUCAGCUGUGCAUCUGAAACUGUGUUUCUAGAGGAAGAGCGGAGAAAACGGAAUUCCACGUGUAGCGGUGAAAUGCGUAGAUAUGUGGAAGAACACCAGUGGCGAAGGCGGUUUUCUAGCUUACUCCUGACGCUGAGGCACGAAAGCAAGGGGAGCAAACAGG
This 253-nucleotide ribosomal RNA is filed under the name uncultured bacterium. RNAcentral's name for it is "partial 16S ribosomal RNA". It matches the Rfam family "Bacterial small subunit ribosomal RNA", at positions 524 to 776 of the family's 1533-position model. The record is from RNAcentral.